GACGAACGCUGGCGGCGUGCCUAAUACAUGCAAGUCGAGCGAACAGACGCGGAGCUUGCUCCUCUGACGUUAGCGGCGGACGGGUGAGUAACAUGUGGAUAACCUACCUAUAUGACUGGGAUAAUUUCGGGAAACCGGUGCUACUACCGAAUAAUAUAUUGAACAGCAUGGUUCAUUAGUGAAAGCCGGUUUUGCUGUCAGUUUUAGAUGGAUCCCGGCCGCAUUAGCUGGUUGGUAUGGUAACGGCUUACCAAGGCAACGAUGCGUAGCCGACGUGUGAGACUGAUCGGCCACACUGGAACUGAGACGCGGUCCAUGCGCCUACGGGACGCAGCAGAAGGGAAUCUGCCGCAAUGGUCGGAAGCAUGACGGAGCAACGCCGCGUGUGUUAUGAAGGUCUUCGGUUCGUAAUACUCUGUUAUGAGUGAUGAACAAAUUUGGAAGUAACUGAACACGGCUUGACGGUACCGAAUCAGAAAGCCACGGCUAACUACGUG
This 497-nucleotide ribosomal RNA is filed under the name uncultured bacterium. RNAcentral's name for it is "partial 16S ribosomal RNA". It matches the Rfam family "Bacterial small subunit ribosomal RNA", at positions 28 to 507 of the family's 1533-position model. The record is from RNAcentral.